Long non-coding RNA from Venturia canescens, 638 nucleotides. RefSeq lists it as uncharacterized. The transcript is spliced from 3 exons. NCBI's taxonomy places the organism in Eukaryota, Metazoa, Arthropoda, Insecta, Hymenoptera, Ichneumonidae. The record is from RefSeq and is a predicted model, not a curated record.
UCAUGCAACAUCUGUUACGAGGCUACAAUUUCUCAUCAACGCUUCGUCAGGACAAAUACCUAUAUAUAAUCCGUCUAUCCUACAAUUAUUUGUCCAUCAUCGAAUCUCCUGAUUUCGAAAACAGAGAAAUUUCGAAAUUGGGAGAUUCGAUUCAGGCAGAACAAUAAGUCAUUUUCCGUGCUGGGGACGGUCGAGAAAAGACAAAAGCGGGUCUCCACUACGUCAAAACACCACCACCACCACAUCGUCGAUAAAAAUUUCGACAGAGCUAGAGUUCUCAACUUUGUUGACAAUCGACUGCUUGCCUCGCUCCCUCUCGACGUCCCUUCGCGUUAAAAGAUGAUUCGGAUUCUCUCGGCCAACCAAAGCAGCUCCGAUGACGCUCGGCACUCCCGGCACCACCAGGGUCGCGCCCGGGGUCGUCUGAGCCGCUGAUGCUGCUGCUUCCAGUCUGUCCAAGUUGAACUCACUCUGGGAUAAUCGCUCGAGAGCUCGACCUUCGCCGGAUGUAAUUUUGGCGAACUUUUUUGUUAACGGAUCUGACGAGGUCGGCAGCAGUGAAGGGGAUUGGCUGGGGAUGAGGAGCGGCCGGUGGUUGUUGGGUGGUUCCUCCGUGGGGACUGGGAAGCUGGGAAGUA